This is a long non-coding RNA of Maniola jurtina (meadow brown), 1673 nucleotides long. RefSeq lists it as uncharacterized. NCBI's taxonomy places the organism in Eukaryota, Metazoa, Arthropoda, Insecta, Lepidoptera, Nymphalidae. The record is from RefSeq and is a predicted model, not a curated record. The transcript is spliced from 2 exons.
UAGAUAUCGGGACUCUUCUCAGUAAAAUCUGAUUUCUAAAUCGGUGGUAGAGUCUUAACUUUCAUAUUAUUAUAAAGAAUCAUAAGAGCCACAAGUUGGCCUAAACGAAAUAUGUAUUAUAUUUGAAUUGAGGUCUGCAUCCGUACGUAGUCGAAAUUCCUCGAACACGUACGAAGCGAUUUGCUGCCUCGUUUCUAAACCGAACAUCAUCAGUCAGGCAUCAGUUUUCUCUCCCACUUUUAAUAUGGGUACCUUUAAGUCAAGAGUGAAUAGGCAACUUCUAGGCAAGCGCGCUCCUUUUAGGCUGCAUCAUCACUUGCUAGCAGGUCUGAUUGCAGCCAAGCGCUAGUUAGUACCUAUAUAUAGUUUAGCUAUAUAAUUAAAAAAAUAUCGAAUCUUGGCCACCAGCUACAAAAUAUCUUGCUCAAUUAAAAAAUUAACUGUUUUUAUUUUUAAAGAAAAUCAACACGAAUUUAAAUUUACGAAAGAAGGCAAUCUUCCUAAUUAUAAAAAAAAUAUGUAUUAGUAUUUCAUUAAAAAAAUGAUAUUAAAUUAAUUUACGCUAGCGCGAAGCAGUUUUUUUUUUUGAGUACACAAUACACAUACAUAAUAGCUAUUUAGAAAACCGUAUCAGACGAAAAUCUGUGUUCGAAAUUAGGAAUAUAUUGAAUUUCUCUUUGUACUUAUUGGUUGAAGGUGUAUCUAUAUAGUAUUCUUACGUCAAUGAUUUACAAUUGUGUAUUUUUAUAGGUAACAGUUUUCGAGCUUUUUAAGUUUUUAUCAACCCAGUAAAAUGCUUUGUAUGAAUAAAAUGAACAAAGCUUUUUAAAAAUCCAAUAUGAGAAAUAUAGCUAAAAACUGAAUCACAAUUUUGCAUACAGUUUGAUAGUAAGUAGGCAUUUAUGAAUUACACGAAUAUUCAUUCAUAUAACGAUGUAUUAUUUUGAGCUUCAUAUGCAUGGAAAAAUCUUAUUAUUAUUCUGUCAGUCAGGUAUCAAAAUAGUCUUUUGUAUGGGGUGAACUACUUACACCCGUAUUCACAAACGUUAGUUACUAUGAGGUCUCAUAGUGCGCUCGAACGCACAGUGUCCGUUCCACCAAUCAGAUGACUGUAUCACAUCAAUUUACAAUGAUCUGAUUGGUGGAAUCUACACUAUGCGUUCGAGCUUACUGUGAGACCUCAUAGUAACGUUUGUUAAUACGGCCGUUACAUAAGUAUAUGAUUAUAAAACUAUAAGGUUCACUUUAAUACGGGCAUUUGGAUUGCACAAUAAUUGUAGUUGUAGUAAGGAACGCUGAAAACGUGGAUUCGUUCUCAGGGUUUUCUUUUCAGACACAGACUUUUCCAUGUAGAUUCCGAACGAUAAAGAAAAUGCUUUCCGAGCUAGUGAGAUAAAAACUAUUUUUAAGUGGCGUUGCCAUCAGUUAUUAGAUAGACCGUGGGUAUAUAAAACCGCAAUUACGAUAAAUCAUAUCACAGUAUUAUAUUAUGUAGACCUAGGAUUUUUCUGAAAGGUAGUUUAUGUUACCUUACAAAGAUACCUUUAUGUCAAAUUAAAAGCAAUAAUCCUUAUAUAUUCUAACCAAAAAUAUAAAAAAACUUGCUUUGGGGGCGCCAAUAGUAUAAUAUAGUCUAUGGUCACUAAGUAUGUCUUGUAUAAAUUAGUUCCACG